UACGAAGGUGUCAAACGUUGUCCGGAAUAACUGGGCGUAAAGGGCGCGUAGGCGGUCGCGUAAGUCAGAUGUGAAAGCUCUGGGCUCAACCCAGGAAUUGCAUUUGAUACUGCGUGACUCGAGUUCGGUAGAGGAGGGCGGAAUUCCAGAAGUAGCGGUGAAAUGCGUUGAUAUCUGGAGGAACACCCGUGGCGAAGGCGGCUCUCUGGUCCGAUACUGACGCUGAGGCGCGAAAGGUAGGGUAGCAAAC
This 250-nucleotide ribosomal RNA is filed under the name uncultured bacterium. RNAcentral describes it as "partial 16S ribosomal RNA". It matches the Rfam family "Bacterial small subunit ribosomal RNA", at positions 524 to 773 of the family's 1533-position model. The record is from RNAcentral.